RNAcentral lists this ribosomal RNA (253 nucleotides) under uncultured bacterium. RNAcentral's name for it is "partial 16S ribosomal RNA". It matches the Rfam family "Bacterial small subunit ribosomal RNA", at positions 524 to 776 of the family's 1533-position model. The record is from RNAcentral.
UACAGAGGGGGCAAGCGUUAUUCGGAAUGAUUGGGCGUAAAGGGCGCGUAGGCGGCUUUUGAAGUGAGGGGUGAAAUCCCUCGGCUUAACCGAGGAACUGCCUGUCAGACUGGAAGGCUUGAGACCGGGAGAGGUGAGUGGAAUUCCCAGUGUAGCGGUGAAAUGCGUAGAUAUUGGGAGGAACACCAGUGGCGAAGGCGGCUCACUGGACCGGAACUGACGCUGAGGCGCGAAAGCGUGGGGAGCAAACAGG